GUUAGGGUGGCAGAGCCCGGUAACUGCGUAAAACUUAAACCUUUACUAUCAGAGGUUC
This 58-nucleotide transfer RNA is filed under the name Canis lupus (wolf). RNAcentral's name for it is "partial tRNA-Leu". The record is from RNAcentral. Lineage: Eukaryota; Metazoa; Chordata; Mammalia; Carnivora; Canidae.